UACAGAGGUCUCGAGCGUUGUUCGGAUUCAUUGGGCGUAAAGGGUGCGUAGGUGGCGCUGUAAGUCGGGUGUGAAAUCCUGAGGCUUAACCUCGGAACUGCAUUCGAUACUGCGGCGCUUGAGGACUGGAGAGGAGACUGGAAUUCAUGGUGUAGCAGUGAAAUGCGUAGAGAUCAUGAGGAAGACCAGUGGCGAAGGCGGGUCUCUGGACAGUUCCUGACACUGAGACACGAAGGCCAGGGGAGCAAACGGG
RNAcentral lists this ribosomal RNA (253 nucleotides) under uncultured bacterium. RNAcentral's name for it is "partial 16S ribosomal RNA". It matches the Rfam family "Bacterial small subunit ribosomal RNA", at positions 524 to 776 of the family's 1533-position model. The record is from RNAcentral.